RNAcentral lists this ribosomal RNA (460 nucleotides) under uncultured bacterium. RNAcentral's name for it is "partial 16S ribosomal RNA". It matches the Rfam family "Bacterial small subunit ribosomal RNA", at positions 338 to 795 of the family's 1533-position model. The record is from RNAcentral.
CCUACGGGAGGCUGCAGUGAGGAAUAUUGGUCAAUGGACGAGAGUCUGAACCAGCCAAGUAGCGUGAAGGAUGACUGCCCUAUGGGUUGUAAACUUCUUUUAUAUGGGAAUAAAAUGUUCCACGUGUGGGAUUUUGUAUGUACCAUAUGAAUAAGGAUCGGCUAACUCCGUGCCAGCAGCCGCGGUAAUACGGAGGAUCCGAGCGUUAUCCGGAUUUAUUGGGUUUAAAGGGAGCGUAGGUGGAUUGUUAAGUCAGUUGUGAAAGUUUGCGGCUCAACCGUAAAAUUGCAGUUGACACUGGCAGUCGUGAGUACAGUAGAGGUGGGCGGAAUUCGCGGUGUAGCGGUGAAAUGCUUAGAUAUCGCGCAGAACCCCGAUUGCGAAGGCAGCGUACCGGCUCCACACUGACGCUGAGGCACGAAAGCGUGGGUAUCGAACAGGAUUAGAUACCCCGGUAGUC